Molecule: ribosomal RNA, 424 nt
Filed under: uncultured Flavobacteriia bacterium
Lineage: Bacteria; Pseudomonadati; Bacteroidota; Flavobacteriia
Description: bacterial SSU rRNA
Rfam family: Bacterial small subunit ribosomal RNA
Source: RNAcentral
UGAGGAAUAUUGGGCAAUGGACGGAAGUCUGACCCAGCCAUGCCGCGUGCAGGAUGACGGCCCUAUGGGUUGUAAACUGCUUUUAUGUAGGAAGAAACCCCUUUACGUGUAGAGGGCUGACGGUACUACUUGAAUAAGCAUCGGCUAACUCCGUGCCAGCAGCCGCGGUAAUACGGAGGAUGCAAGCGUUAUCCGGAUUCAUUGGGUUUAAAGGGUCCGUAGGCGGACUUUUAAGUCAGAGGUGAAAGCCUACAGCUCAACUGUAGAAUUGCCUUUGAUACUGGAAGUCUUGAGUACAAUUGAAGUGGGCGGAAUACGUCAUGUAGCGGUGAAAUGCAUAGAUAUGACGUAGAACACCGAUUGCGAAGGCAGCUCACUAAGUUGUAACUGACGCUGAGGGACGAAAGCGUGGGGAGCAAACAGG